Molecule: non-coding RNA, 30 nt
Filed under: Rattus norvegicus (Norway rat)
Lineage: Eukaryota; Metazoa; Chordata; Mammalia; Rodentia; Muridae
Source: RNAcentral
UAAGAUUUGAAAGAAGGAUUUCCAGUAGAU